Molecule: ribosomal RNA, 253 nt
Filed under: uncultured bacterium
Lineage: Bacteria
Description: partial 16S ribosomal RNA
Rfam family: Bacterial small subunit ribosomal RNA
Source: RNAcentral
UACGGAGGGUGCGAGCGUUAUCCGGAAUUACUGGGUUUAAAGGGCGCGUAGGCGGUCCCUCAAGUCAGGCGUGAAAGCCCCGGGCUCAACCUGGGAACCGCGCUUGAGACUGGCGGACUCGAGUUCGGGAGAGGAUGGUGGAAUUCCCAGUGUAGAGGUGAAAUUCGUAGAUAUUAGGAAGAACACCGAUGGCGAAGGCAGCCAUCUGGACCGACACUGACGCUGAGGCGCGAAAGCGUGGGGAGCAAACAGG